This 734-nucleotide ribosomal RNA is filed under the name uncultured bacterium. RNAcentral describes it as "bacterial SSU rRNA". It matches the Rfam family "Bacterial small subunit ribosomal RNA", at positions 41 to 806 of the family's 1533-position model. The record is from RNAcentral.
GGCGCCGCUACCAUGCAGUCGAACGAGAAAGCAGGAGCAAUCCUGUGAGUAAAGUGGCGUACGGGUGAGUAACACGUGGAUCAUCUACCCUCUUGUGGGGGAUAACCCUGGGAAACCGGGGCUAAUACCGCAUAAGCUCGAGAGAGGAAAGCAGCAAUGCGCAGGAGGAGGAGUCCGCGGCCGAUUAGCUAGUUGGUAGGGUAAAAGCCUACCAAGGCAACGAUCGGUAGCCGGCCUGAGAGGGCACACGGCCACACUGGCACUGAAACACGGGCCAGACUCCUACGGGAGGCAGCAGUGGGGAAUCUUGCACAAUGGGGGCAACCCUGAUGCAGCGACGCCGCGUGAGCGAUGAAGCCCUUCGGGGUGUAAAGCUCUUUCGGCAGGGAAGAUUAUGACGGUACCUGCAGAAGCAGCUGCGGCUAACUACGUGCCAGCAGCCGCGGUAAUACGUAGGCAGCAAGCGUUGUUCGGAGUUACUGGGCGUAAAGGGUGUGUAGGCGGUUCUUUAAGUUUGGUGUGAAAUCUCCCGGCUCAACUGGGAGGGUGCGCCGAAAACUGGAGAGCUAGAGUGCGGGAUGGGAGAGUGGAAUUCCUGGUGUAGCGGUGAAAUGCGUAGAUAUCAUGAGGAACAUCGGUGGUGGUAAGACGGCUUCUCUGGACCGCAACUGACGCUGAGACACGAAAGCGGUGGGUAGCAAACAGGAUAGAUACCCUGUAGUCCACGCCCUAAC